AGUGUUCACAGCGGUCCUUGAUGUUCCACACAACGCAAUUAAGGCACGCGGUGAAUGCCAA
This 61-nucleotide microRNA precursor is filed under the name Saccoglossus kowalevskii. RNAcentral describes it as "Sko-Mir-124_pre stem-loop". It matches the Rfam family "mir-124 microRNA precursor family", at positions 9 to 66 of the family's 72-position model. Rfam says of the family: The mature ~21nt miRNAs are processed from hairpin precursor sequences represented here, in this case originating from the 3' arm. The bounds of the precursors are predicted based on conservation and base pairing and are not generally known. The record is from RNAcentral. Lineage: Eukaryota; Metazoa; Hemichordata; Enteropneusta; Harrimaniidae.